GACGUAGGGGGCCAGCGUUGUUCGGAAUUACUGGGUGUAAAGGGUUCGUAGGCGGUGUAGCAAGUCGGGUGUGAAAUCUCUGGGCUUAACCCAGAGGCUGCUUCCGAAACUGCUGUGCUUGAGUGUGGGAGAGGCGCGUGGAAUUGCAGGUGUAGCGGUGAAAUGCGUAGAUAUCGGAAGGAACAUCAGUGGCGAAAGCGACUUCCUGGACCAAUACUGACGCUCAUGUGCGAAAGCGUGGGGAGCAAACAGG
This 253-nucleotide ribosomal RNA is filed under the name uncultured bacterium. RNAcentral's name for it is "partial 16S ribosomal RNA". It matches the Rfam family "Bacterial small subunit ribosomal RNA", at positions 524 to 776 of the family's 1533-position model. The record is from RNAcentral.